GAUGAACGCUGGCGGCGUGCCUAAUACAUGCAAGUCGAGCGAACAGACGAGGAGCUUGCUCCUCUAACGUUAGCGGCGGACGGGUGAGUAACACGUGGAUAACCUACCUAUAAGACUGGGAUAACUUCGGGAAACCGGAGCUAAUACCGGAUAAUAUAUUGAACCGCAUGGUUCAAUAGUGAAAGACGGUUUUGCUGUCACUUAUAGAUGGAUCCGCGCCGCAUUAGCUAGUUGGUAAGGUAACAGCUUACCAAGGCAACGAUGCGUAGCCGACCUGAGAGGGUGAUCGGCCACCCUGGAACUGAGACACGGUCCAGACUCCUACGGGAGGCAGCAGUAGGGAAUCUUCCGCAAUGGGCGAAAGCCUGACGGAGCAACGCCGCGUGAGUGAUGAAGGUCUUCGGAUCGUAAAACUCUGUUAUUAGGGAAGAACAAAUGUGUAAGUAACUAUGCACGUCUUGACGGUACCUAAUCAGAAAGCCACGGCUAACUACGUG
RNAcentral lists this ribosomal RNA (497 nucleotides) under uncultured bacterium. RNAcentral describes it as "partial 16S ribosomal RNA". It matches the Rfam family "Bacterial small subunit ribosomal RNA", at positions 28 to 507 of the family's 1533-position model. The record is from RNAcentral.